This 253-nucleotide ribosomal RNA is filed under the name uncultured bacterium. Its description in RNAcentral is "partial 16S ribosomal RNA". It matches the Rfam family "Bacterial small subunit ribosomal RNA", at positions 524 to 776 of the family's 1533-position model. The record is from RNAcentral.
UACGUAGGGGGCUAGCGUUGUCCGGAAUCAUUGGGCGUAAAGCGCGUGUAGGCGGUCCGGUAAGUCCGCUGUGAAAGUCGGGGGCUCAACCCUCGGAUGCCGGUGGAUACUGUCGGGCUUGAGUACGGAAGAGGCGAGCGGAAUUCCUGGUGUAGCGGUGAAAUGCGCAGAUAUCAGGAGGAACACCAAUUGCGAAGGCAGCUCGCUGGGACGUUACUGACGCUGAGACGCGAAAGCGUGGGGAGCAAACAGG